AGCUUAAAGAAUAUAUUUUAAGUGUAAUCUGCUCAGUGUGUUUUAAAUAAAUAGCCGCGGUACUUUGACCGUGCUAAGGUAGCGUAAUAAGUUGGCUUUUAAAUGGGGUCGAGUAUGAAUGAAAGAACGUAGWUAAGCUGUCUUAAAACUAUUUUGAUGAAGUUACUGUGUAGAUGAAAAAGUCUAUAGAAAAAUAAAAGACGAGAAGACCCUUAGAAUUUUAGUGAUAUUGAAGUUGAUUUAUUCAGGAUACUUUUGUUGGGGCGACAUGGAAACAGCGGUUAACUUUUUCAAAAUUAACACGACGAUUUUUAUAAGAAUGGAUAAAUUACCUGAGGGAUAACAGCAUAAUUUUACUAAUAAGUUUGUGACCUCGAUGUUGGACUAGGAAAUUAGUAGACUAGUCGUUUACUAUAUUGGUUCUGUUCGAACUGUUUUUCCU
RNAcentral lists this ribosomal RNA (442 nucleotides) under Berthellina delicata. RNAcentral's name for it is "partial 16S ribosomal RNA". Lineage: Eukaryota; Metazoa; Mollusca; Gastropoda; Pleurobranchida; Pleurobranchidae. The record is from RNAcentral.